AGAUUUGAAUAUUUUAUAUUAAUAUGAUAGUAAGGAUGCAUUUAUCCAAUAAGUAAAUUAAAGUAAUUGAUUCAAUCACGUCAUACCAUAAACGAUACUAGACCUACAAUGAUAUUUUAAUCAUGGCAGCCCUAAGCUCUGACACUUUCCUUACUUCCGUUCAUUUAAGUUUUUUUUUUAUUAGUAUUUUCUAUUAACAGCAUUCAUUUUCAAUGCCUAAAACUUGUUAUUAAAUCUCGAAAUUAUUAAUUAAGGUCAUAAAUACCAAAGUUACCUCAACUAUCAGUGUCACAGUGAAUAAAACCAUAAUAAGCAAAUAAAUGACAACCAUCUAACCGCCAUAUUGUAAAUAAAUAAGCUGUAUGGAGAAAGUUGACAAAGCAUUAUCACGACAGAAAUUUUAAUUGUACUGGAAAAGAUCGUCCUCGAGUGUGCUUUUUACGAUUCUCUAAAUAUCCUACCCAUUGCCAAUCGCAAGAACUGUACAAGACAAACGAAAUAGAAUUUCGGAUUAAAACACGAUCAUGUUCUUCACUUUUGUCAAAUUUUAUAAUCUUCAAUGAAUCUAGUGCCCUACGAUGACCUACGAGUCGUAUGACCUAAAGUUUGAACUGUAUAGAAACAAGGAUGUUUAAUUAAUGUGCCUAGUUCCUGUUCGAAUCGAUAUACCGAUCGAAAUGGGCUCAAAUAUGAAAUCUGUCACUCCUAGCAAGUAAACUGACAACUCUAUUGGAAUAGUCCCUGUUGCCUGACUUACAUGAACUGUUAACAAUGAAAAUGUAUUGAAAUUAUGCUGGAGAACCCCGCUUGCUGGAUUUGAUGAAUCUUUACACAACCUUAAAGACAAACAGACAAGUCUGAUGGCUGCCUAUAUAUACCCAUACCUAGUGUUUGGUGAUGUUUAAGCCGAGCGGAGCAAAUUUCCGUUUGCUGUUUCCAUGGACUUUUCCGAGUCUCCCGAUAAUCUCUAACAACAGAAUGGUUUCCUGAUACCUGGCCGUUAGUUCACCCAGCAGUCAGUUAAACUUAAGCCAAACGAACGAAAUAUCUAUGGUUAUUUUCAUGAUUCCUGUUUCUCCAUGUCUUACCACAAUUUUCAAUGUUCCGGAGAACUGACAGUGCCCCGCAGAGUCAUUACGUCUAGCCUCAAAAUACACACUAUGGAAUGCUUCUAUUUCUGAAAGAUUACGAAGGACCACACCUCUCCAGACUCCUGUUCAAUAAUUUUAUUACACAACUUUUGCUGUAACAAUGGCUGCUGUCUACUGCCACUUCAAAGUUCCUGUCCCACGGCUCUAUUUCUAGAAACCUGCACCCACAUCAGCAGUGGUCUACAUUGAAUACUACUUAUAGGGAAAAUGACACUCAAGAUCUUUUAUGUUAGGUAUCAAGGCGCAAGAAGAUGGAAUUAUAAUUGAUUAUUUUGAGAUGACACGUCUCAAAUAUGAAAUAAAUCCCCUAACAACGGCGAGAAGAAAACGAGUAAAGAAGACUGAUAAACUUAUUAAAUAGAAAAUAACUAAGGAUUUUUUUAUUAAGUAGACAAUAACUCUAAGGAUUUUUUUUGUACAUAAUAACAGUUUGAAAAAUAAACGUUAGAUUUUAUGACUUUUAUUUAAAACACAAUAAAAACAGAGUCCAAAAUUCAGUGUACCCACUCCGCUCUCACGGCAACAAAAUGUAGCCUGAAUGGCUACUUUUACUUUCUAUCCUUGGUGUCGAUUCCACUAAAAUAUAACCAUCGAGGUUACGCUGCAUACUGGACACGGCCUACCAAAAUGUAGCCUGAAUGGCUACUUUUACAUAGAUAUAUCUUAAAAAACCAUAGUAAACCAGGUAAAAUAAAUCCUGCGUCGCGGCUCACCAAAAUGUAGCCUGAAUGGCUACUUUUACUAUAUUUUAGAACCCUUGGUAUCCAAAAUGUGCCCCAAACGUGGUACACUUUAGAUCCCUCGGUCACGGCACCAAAAUGUACCUUCCCUACCUAUACCGCAAUCUACCUCAC
Molecule: long non-coding RNA, 2005 nt
Organism: Cydia pomonella (codling moth)
Lineage: Eukaryota; Metazoa; Arthropoda; Insecta; Lepidoptera; Tortricidae
Exons: 7
Source: RefSeq, a predicted model, not a curated record